This 442-nucleotide ribosomal RNA is filed under the name uncultured bacterium. RNAcentral describes it as "partial 16S ribosomal RNA". It matches the Rfam family "Bacterial small subunit ribosomal RNA", at positions 338 to 795 of the family's 1533-position model. The record is from RNAcentral.
CCUACGGGAGGCAGCAGUGGGGAAUAUUGGGCAAUGGGCGGAAGCCUGACCCAGCAACGCCGCGUGAAGGAAGAAGGCCCUCGGGUUGUUAACUUCUUUUCUAUAGGACGUAGAAGUGACGGUACUAUAGGAAUAAGCCACGGCUAAAUACGUGCCAGCAGCCGCGGUAAUACGUAGGUGGCGAGCGUUAUCCGGAUUUAUUGGGUGUAAAGGGCGUGUAGGCGGGACUGCAAGUCAGAUGUGAAAAUUAUGGGCUCAACCCAUAACCUGCAUUUGAAACUGUCGUUCUUGAGUGAUGGAGAGGCAGGCGGAAUUCCGUGUGUAGCGGUGAAAUGCGUAGAUAUACCGAAGAACACCGAUGGCGAAGGCGGCCUGCUGGACAUUAACUGACGCUGAGGCGCGAAAGCGUGGGGAGCAAACAGGAUUAGAUACCCCUGUAGUC